GGCCCUAUAACUCAGUUGGUUAGAGUAGCUGACUCAUAAUCAGCAAGUCCUUGGUUCGAGCCCAAGUGGGGCCACAA
RNAcentral lists this transfer RNA (77 nucleotides) under Elizabethkingia meningoseptica. Its description in RNAcentral is "tRNA-Met". It matches the Rfam family "tRNA". Rfam says of the family: Transfer RNA (tRNA) molecules are approximately 80 nucleotides in length. Their secondary structure includes four short double-helical elements and three loops (D, anti-codon, and T loops). The record is from RNAcentral. RNAcentral also lists the same sequence under 2 other names. Lineage: Bacteria; Pseudomonadati; Bacteroidota; Flavobacteriia; Flavobacteriales; Weeksellaceae.